AUGACUUCUAAAUCAGAAUGAUGUGUAGUUUAUGACUUUCCUAACAUAAAGUUGGAUGGUUGUUUGGGCCAUCAUUUGAAAUAUUAUUUUUACUUGAUUUUGCAUAUGCACCUUCAAGAAUAAUGGUUGUAUCCAUCCUAUCUAACAUAGAUUUAGGAACCAAAACAAUUCUUACUAAUGAAUAAUCCAACAAGGAGGCCACAUUUGUGUUGUUGGCACUUCAUUUCUGUUGUGAUUAAGUUAAGUAUUUCGGGUUAAUAGGCCACCCAAUUAACUUUGGCAAGAUUUUUUGCUUACCCUUGUUAGAGUCAGAACCGAAAUGGAGCCUCCUCAGGCGUUUGGAUUUUCAGCCGUCGGAUCGGAAUCUCCUCGCGACACAGACUGUCGGAUCUCGAUCCAAAUCGCUGUGGGUCGUUGGAUAUUUACCGGAUCAACUUCGGCCGUCGGAUAAAAUUUCAAUUGCAUCAGAAUGUAAUAUCUUUGCCCACACCAGGGCUAUGUUUAUAAAGCGGUAAAGCGAAGCGAGGCGCUAGGGGGGCGCCUCACUGCUUAAGCGAUAAAGCGUAAAGCGAGGCGACGCUUUAGACAGACUCUGAACCUGAUGGGCAGUAUAAUAGAGCACCAUUUAGUGAGACAUAUAUAUGUUGAUUCUAAUCCACCAGUGAGCCCAUAUAUUCUGAUCCAUCCACUAAGCAGCAAGCAACUAGCCAAUUGCUAUAAGAGAGGCAGUAGCACCUAACAGCAGAGGAGUUGUGCAUAGCAUAACACACAACAGAGCAGAAAAGGCUGGUGCAGAUCUGAGGAAGCUGCUGCCAGAGGAGAGAGGAAAGAGCUGAAAGCCUGGAUAUUUGCACGCUCUGGUUUUGGUUCUCUCUCUUUCUUUCCCCUCCUGUAACUGUUUCAAAUGUGAGCCCAGCCCUGUUUCCCUGCCAGGAAUCUCUGUACCCUGCCUGGCAAGUCUAAGGCGUCCUCUCUGCCUUAAAGCGCCAAUCAGGAUGCCUAAGCAGGCGCUUCAGACGCUUUAGUGUCUAAGGCGGACGCCUUAGACACAUGUCUAAAGCGAGUUGGACGCUUUGAGCCUGGAGGGCGCUCUAACGCUUAAGCGUCGCUUAAGCGACGCUUUAGGGACGCUUUACAAACAGAGCACCAGGGUAUUUUAGUCAUUUAAUCGGGGUCGUCAUGCCACCGCCUGUAAAUUUGGUGGCCCGCUAAGGGUAAUUUCGUCAUUUCACCUGGUGGCAUAUAAGUGCAGCAAGCCACCUCCCGCACACGCGCAGCUCCGCUCCGUCCUCCCCUCGCGGCUUCCCCUCCCGUAACCCUACCUCCUCCUCUCCUCUGAGCCGCCGCCACCCGUCCUCCUCCUCUCCUCUGCGGCACCGCUGCCCAUCCUCCUCCUCUCCUCUGCACUGCCGUUGCCCGUCUUCCUCCUCCUCUGUGUCGCCGCCGCCCGUCCUCCUCCUCUCCUCUGUGCCGCCCGUCUCUGUCGCCGUCUGGCCUAGAUGCGUCCGGAGUCCGUCGGCGCCGCACGCGGAGGAGACGCGGCGAGGAGGAGCACGAGCCAGCGGAGCAGUGGAUCGUCGCGCCGUCGACGGGAGGAAGCUGGGCGUCAUCCACGGGGAAGCACAAGGCGCUGGUGGAUCGGGGUUUCUCGUGACUGGAUCAAGGUCAGAGUGUCAUCGCCGUUGCCCGUCACUGGCCUCGCCUCACCUCAGCGUGCUCGGCUGGGACAUCGAGCGGCUGCCCAGCAUCGUCAUCAACCCCCGCGGCAUGCCUCGGACAGGCCUCCUGGCCAGGGAGGGCGAGGGCGCCACCGCUCAGGAGGCAAAGGUUCUCAAGCUAUUCGCUUCUGCAGGUUGCCCACCAACGAGACCGCCUGAGUAGUAAAAUUAUUGAUUGCGGGGGAAUGUUGACACUAGAUAAUGACGGCGCAGAUGCAAAGGUUCUCAAGCUAUUCGCUUCUGCAGGUUGCCCACCAACGAGACCGCCUGAGUAGUAAAAUUAUUGAUUGCGGGGGAAUGUUGACACUAGAUAAUGACGGCGCAGAUGCAGUGAAGGAGGAUGUUGGUAGUAUAAUGAAUGACGCCCCUUGAGUGGAUGAUGUUGCUGCAGGGAAGAUCGGUCCUCCAAGUAAAGACAAUGGCGGAGAGGUUCAUGAGCAAGGGCAUGAUACAAGAAGUGUUGAAAAGGUUCAAGGGAUCUUCUCCAUAAAUCCAGAGAAUGGCCAAGAAGAGCAUCUCUUGGUACUUCAAAGUUUAUACCGCACUUCACGACAAGGAAAGAAAAGAGAAGAAUGGCUCUGAGGACCAAAAGUGUGAGUUCUUUCCACAAGCAACAAAAUCUAUCAGGCCCACAAGUGUUGAACUGGGCUCGGCCCGAUUACAAGAGGAGAAGCCGAGGAAUAUAAGAAGACACGUUCCACUCAGUAUCCACAUUUCACGGUACCUCGCCUGGAUCUAGAAGUGCGGCUACAACGACCUCGACCUGGCCAAAGUACAAACCCAACCCUUCUCGGCGGAUCUCGAUUGAAUCUUGGGCUCAAGUACUAGGCACAUCAUGGAAGGGGCAAGAGCCGACGACCCGAUCUACCGCAGUAAUGACGAAGUUUUUCAGGUAGACACUGUCGUAAAUGCCACCGUGCCGGAAAGCCAAGGAUUGAAACCAUGUGCAGUGAACCAUACCUUUGUGAGAGGACCAAGACAAGAGGACCGCUUGGAUGCAGGUGCUUCUACGCGAAAAAGCUAAAAAUAUCUCCAUACGAGCAUGAUUGACUCAAGCAAUCUGUUGGUACGACGAAGCCUGCCAUCAGGUAUUACAUAUGUGAGACGACCGAGACUACCACCGCUCCCGGCCAACAAAUGGUGAGAGGAAUGAUCUUGACCAUCAUAUGCUACCAGUUUCCAGUAUUUCUCAGCUCCAUCACAUGGAGAUACCUAGCAAGUAACCUUGAACAAUCAAUCGAUGAUGUGCGCUAAGGAGCAGGUCAGAAUUAUUAUGGGCGUGAAUGCAAGAGCAACCAUCAGAACCAAUUGGUCAUACUUUGUGACAAUAACAGCUUGCAAAACUUUUAGCUAUGUGCCUUUGCCUUCAAGUCUAAAAUGGGCAGACUGUCGCUCACUGUCUACCCGCUUUGGGAAGGCAGUUAUGAAAUCAUACUAUUAUGCAAAUACUUCUAUGUGAUUUCAUUGGCUAGACCGUAAAAUCGCCAGAGAUUCAUGUAUCAUGUCAUGUAAGGAGUCAGGAUGACCCAACGAAGCUAUCAAGUAUUAGGCUUUAGCAUAACUACUUAGGUUCUUUAUCUCGCAUCGCCUAUGUGGCUCCCUUUGCCUAUAUAAUGACUCAACUGUUGUAUUUACUUAGUGAUGAUCCAUCGUCUAAACUUAUUUUUGUAAGAAAAAUGCUCCUUUGCUUUCGGUAUA
Molecule: RNA transcript, 3416 nt
Organism: Triticum aestivum (bread wheat)
Lineage: Eukaryota; Viridiplantae; Streptophyta; Magnoliopsida; Poales; Poaceae
Exons: 10
Source: RefSeq, a predicted model, not a curated record